RNAcentral lists this long non-coding RNA (349 nucleotides) under Rattus norvegicus (Norway rat). RNAcentral describes it as "long non-coding RNA NONRATT000680". The record is from RNAcentral. Lineage: Eukaryota; Metazoa; Chordata; Mammalia; Rodentia; Muridae.
GGGAAGAGGCCGACUGGGGAGUUACUAUGAAGGAAUGGGCUGGGCUGAGGGGUCCUGACACUGCUGCUCAUCAUAGUCCUCCCUGUCCUUCAUAGAACCGGGGCCAGCAGAGAAACAAGAAGAUACAGUCCACCCAGCCCAGACACCCAGGGCCUGCUAUCUUGUGCUAGGGCCAGGCAUGGGGUGGCAGCUGGUGGCUGUGCAGCUAGGGCUACGGCUGCUGCUGUUGAUGCUGUCCCCGCAGACUCCCACCCAUGGGCUGAGAAGCCUGGCCACCCACACUCUACAAGCCCUCACCCCGCUCCUUUGAUCACUUAGGGUGGGCAGUCAAUAGAUGGGGGUAAUAUUA